This 3501-nucleotide long non-coding RNA is filed under the name Oncorhynchus kisutch (coho salmon). RNAcentral's name for it is "lncRNA (ENSOKIG00005037101.1)". The record is from RNAcentral. Lineage: Eukaryota; Metazoa; Chordata; Actinopteri; Salmoniformes; Salmonidae.
AUGACUGUGUCCCACUUUACAAUACACAGACCUUAUACCAUAUGUGUCAGUCCCACUUUACAAUACACAGACCUUACACCAUAUGUGUCAGUCCCACUUUACAAUACACAGACCUUGUACCAUGUGUCAGUCCCACUUUACAAUACACAGACCUUAUACCAUGUGUCAGUCCCACUUUACAAUACACAGACCUUAUACCAUGUGUCAGUCCCACUUUACAAUACACAGACCGUAUACCAUAUGUGUCAGUCCCACUUUACAAUACACAGAUCUUAUACCAUGUGUCAGUCCCACUUUACAAUACACAGACCUUAUACCAUGUGUCAGUCCCACUUUACAAUACACCAUAUGUGUCAGUCCCACUUUACAAUACACAGACCUUACACCAUAUGUGUCAGUCCCACUUUACAAUACACAGACCUUAUACCAUGUGUCAGUCCCACUUUACAAUACACAGACCUUAUACCAUGUGUCAGUCCCACUUUACAAUACACAGACCGUAUACCAUAUGUGUCAGUCCCACUUUACAAUACACAGACCUUAUACCAUGUGUCAGUCCCACUUUACAAUACACAGACCUUAUACCAUGUGUCAGUCCCACUUUACAAUACACAGACCUUAUACCAUGUGUCAGUCCCACUUUACAAUACACAGACCUUAUACCAUAUGUGUCAGUCCCACUUUACAAUACACAGACCUUAUACCAUGUGUCAGUCCCACUUUACAAUACACAGACCUUAUACCAUGUGUCAGUCCCACUUUACAAUACACAGACCUUAUACCAUGUGUCAGUCCCACUUUACAAUACACAGACCUUAUACCAUAUGUGUCAGUCCCACUUUACAAUACACAGACCUUACACCAUAUGUGUCAGUCCCACUUUACAAUACACAGACCUUGUACCAUGUGUCAGUCCCACUUUACAAUACACAGACCUUAUACCAUGUGUCAGUCCCACUUUACAAUACACAGACCUUAUACCAUGUGUCAGUCCCACUUUACAAUACACAGACCGUAUACCAUAUGUGUCAGUCCCACUUUACAAUACACAGAUCUUAUACCAUGUGUCAGUCCCACUUUACAAUACACAGACCUUAUACCAUGUGUCAGUCCCACUUUACAAUACACAGACCUUACACCAUAUGUGUCAGUCCCACUUUACAAUACACAGACCUUACACCAUAUGUGUCAGUCCCACUUUACAAUACACAGACCUUAUACCAUGUGUCAGUCCCACUUUACAAUACACAGACCUUAUACCAUGUGUCAGUCCCACUUUACAAUACACAGACCGUAUACCAUAUGUGUCAGUCCCACUUUACAAUACACAGACCUUAUACCAUGUGUCAGUCCCACUUUACAAUACACAGACCUUAUACCAUGUGUCAGUCCCACUUUACAAUACACAGACCUUAUACCAUAUGUGUCAGUCCCACUUUACAAUACACAGACCUUAUACCAUGUGUCAGUCCCACUUUACAAUACACAGACCUUAUACCAUGUGUCAGUCCCACUUUACAAUACACAGACCUUAUACCAUGUGUCAGUCCCACUUUACAAUACACAGACCUUAUACCAUAUGUGUCAGUCCCACUUUACAAUACACAGACCUUACACCAUAUGUGUCAGUCCCACUUUACAAUACACAGACCUUGUACCAUGUGUCAGUCCCACUUUACAAUACACAGACCUUAUACCAUGUGUCAGUCCCACUUUACAAUACACAGACCUUAUACCAUGUGUCAGUCCCACUUUACAAUACACAGACCUUAUACCAUGUGUCAGUCCCACUUUACAAUACACAGACCUUAUACCAUAUGUGUCAGUCCCACUUUACAAUACACAGACCUUACACCAUAUGUGUCAGUCCCACUUUACAAUACACAGACCUUGUACCAUGUGUCAGUCCCACUUUACAAUACACAGACCUUAUACCAUGUGUCAGUCCCACUUUACAAUACACAGACCUUAUACCAUGUGUCAGUCCCACUUUACAAUACACAGACCGUAUACCAUAUGUGUCAGUCCCACUUUACAAUACACAGAUCUUAUACCAUGUGUCAGUCCCACUUUACAAUACACAGACCGUAUACCAUGUGUCAGUCCCACUUUACAAUACACAGACCUUACACCAUAUGUGUCAGUCCCACUUUACAAUACACAGACCGUACACCAUAUGUGUCAGUCCCACUUUACAAUACACAGACCUUAUACCAUGUGUCAGUCCCACUUUACAAUACACAGACCUUAUACCAUGUGUCAGUCCCACUUUACAAUACACAGACCGUAUACCAUAUGUGUCAGUCCCACUUUACAAUACACAGACCUUAUACCAUGUGUCAGUCCCACUUUACAAUACACAGACCUUAUACCAUGUGUCAGUCCCACUUUACAAUACACAGACCUUAUACCAUGUGUCAGUCCCACUUUACAAUACACAGACCUUAUACCAUAUGUGUCAGUCCCACUUUACAAUACACAGACCUUAUACCAUGUGUCAGUCCCACUUUACAAUACACAGACCUUAUACCAUGUGUCAGUCCCACUUUACAAUACACAGACCUUAUACCAUGUGUCAGUCCCACUUUACAAUACACAGACCUUAUACCAUAUGUGUCAGUCCCACUUUACAAUACACAGACCUUACACCAUAUGUGUCAGUCCCACUUUACAAUACACAGACCUUGUACCAUGUGUCAGUCCCACUUUACAAUACACAGACCUUAUACCAUGUGUCAGUCCCACUUUACAAUACACAGACCGUAUACCAUAUGUGUCAGUCCCACUUUACAAUACACAGAUCUUAUACCAUGUGUCAGUCCCACUUUACAAUACACAGACCUUAUACCAUGUGUCAGUCCCACUUUACAAUACACAGACCUUACACCAUAUGUGUCAGUCCCACUUUACAAUACACAGACCUUACACCAUAUGUGUCAGUCCCACUUUACAAUACACAGACCUUAUACCAUGUGUCAGUCCCACUUUACAAUACACAGACCUUAUACCAUGUGUCAGUCCCACUUUACAAUACACAGACCGUAUACCAUAUGUGUCAGUCCCACUUUACAAUACACAGACCUUAUACCAUGUGUCAGUCCCACUUUACAAUACACAGACCUUAUACCAUGUGUCAGUCCCACUUUACAAUACACAGACCUUGUACCAUGUGUCAGUCCCACUUUACAAUACACAGACCUUAUACCAUGUGUCAGUCCCACUUUACAAUACACAGACCUUAUACCAUGUGUCAGUCCCACUUUACAAUACACAGACCUUAUACCAUGUGUCAGUCCCACUUUACAAUACACAGACCUUAUACCAUGUGUCAGUCCCACUUUACAAUACACAGACCUUAUACCAUGUGUCAGUCCCACUUUACAAUACACAGACCUUAUACCAUGUGUCAGUCCCACUUUACAAUACACAGACCGUAUACCAUAUGUGUCAGUCCCACUUUACAAUACACAGACCGUAUACCAUAUAAACUGGAUGGUUUGA